AAGAAAUGGACAUAAUACCAAAGGACUGAAGAAAAUCAGGAAAAGCUGGUACCAGCUGAGGAGCAACCCAGAAUCCCAUGGAUCUAUUGUUGCGACAAAGAUUGUGUUUUGUGUUUUAUGUUUUGUCUUGUGUUGUUUGUCUUGUUGCUACCAUUGUUGUGUACUGUGUUACAA
This is a long non-coding RNA of Mauremys reevesii (Reeves's turtle), 174 nucleotides long. RefSeq lists it as uncharacterized. The record is from RefSeq and is a predicted model, not a curated record. Lineage: Eukaryota; Metazoa; Chordata; Testudines; Geoemydidae. The transcript is spliced from 2 exons.